Long non-coding RNA from Sciurus carolinensis (gray squirrel), 1061 nucleotides. RefSeq lists it as uncharacterized. The transcript has 3 exons. Lineage: Eukaryota; Metazoa; Chordata; Mammalia; Rodentia; Sciuridae. The record is from RefSeq and is a predicted model, not a curated record.
UAAUUUAUUGCUUUAGCAUCAAGUAUUGUAGUUUGUAUCUUUGGCAUGAAAGCAGAGGAUCACACUCAGUUGAGAACAUGUCAUGUUUGAUAACAUGUUUGAUAACCUGGUAACAUGAAAGGAGUGAACUCCUUUCACUCAGCCUGGGAGAAUGUUAGGGGUAUUGUUACAUAGUUGGCUAUUCUCUUUAAAAUGUACCUUCUUAAAUAUUUUAUUCCUUAACUCAUAAAAGCAUAUGUGAUGCUGACCAAAUUUUUGACUGUAUGAAAAAUUUCUCUCUACCUCUCAAAUCUACAAAUUUCAGAAUGUCCAUUUCUUGGAAGGGAAUCCUGAUGAAUAAUGAGUGUGCUAAUGGAAAAUGCCAUUCUUCAUGACUUGAAACCACAGGCAUCUACUUUAGAGGAAAUGGUUGCCUUUUGAAUGAUUUUUAUAGUAAGGGUAAUAAAAGAAGACAUGGAUGAAGCUUCUGAAACUCCAGCUUCCGUUAUAAUUCAGAAGAGUUUAAAGACCAAAAAUGCUGCAGUCACUUUUUUUCAGGUGUGUUGCUAGAGACAAGCAAUGGCAUUACCUGAGAGCUUACUAGAAAUGUGGGAUCUGCCACAGAACACACAAAGACCUCCUAAAUCAGAAUGUCCAUUUUAACAAGAUCCAAGAAGAUUGGUGAACACAUUGUUUGAGAAGCACUGAUGGGUUCCAUACCUUUGAGAAACUUCAUCAUUGAGGUAUUGAACAUCCACCUCAUGCACCCCAAAAUUGACAGCUGUUUUGCUUAUUAUAUUCCAACUCUGGAAAGUUAAUCUUGGGUUUUGGUUUAGAAAAGUGGUUUUUAGCACCAUCACUUGAGAAACUUGUUGAGAAUGCACAUUCUCAGGCUCCAUCCCCAAUCUGUUGAACACUCAGGAUGUUUGUUUGUUUAAAGCCCUUUAGGUGAUGGUUUUCUACUAGAGAACCACCAAUCAAGGGAAUUACUAAUUUAAAAGAAUUGCCUUUUCAAAUGUUUGUAGAGAAGAACUUGAUAUGUUCUAUGACUUUUGUUGAGAUUAAAUUUUCAAAUGGCUGUA